RNAcentral lists this non-coding RNA (89 nucleotides) under Streptomyces sp. GMY02. Lineage: Bacteria; Bacillati; Actinomycetota; Actinomycetes; Kitasatosporales; Streptomycetaceae. The record is from RNAcentral.
UGGCGAAACGUGACCCCUCCGGCCUCAUGCCGGCUGAGGGGGAACGUCGUCGCGGGGUGGUGCCCGCGGCCUGACGAUGCCAGCCGCGU